Molecule: ribosomal RNA, 253 nt
Filed under: uncultured bacterium
Lineage: Bacteria
Description: partial 16S ribosomal RNA
Rfam family: Bacterial small subunit ribosomal RNA
Source: RNAcentral
UACGAAGGGUGCAAGCGUUACUCGGAAUUACUGGGCGUAAAGCGUGCGUAGGUGGUUUGUUAAGUCUGAUGUGAAAGCCCUGGGCUCAACCUGGGAAUUGCAUUGGAUACUGGCAGGCUAGAGUGCGGUAGAGGAUGGCGGAAUUCCCGGUGUAGCAGUGAAAUGCGUAGAGAUCGGGAGGAACAUCUGUGGCGAAGGCGGUUCUCUGGGCCUGUACUGACGCUGAGGAGCGAAAGCGUGGGGAGCGAACAGG